RNAcentral lists this ribosomal RNA (603 nucleotides) under Triticum aestivum (bread wheat). Its description in RNAcentral is "partial small subunit ribosomal RNA". The record is from RNAcentral. Lineage: Eukaryota; Viridiplantae; Streptophyta; Magnoliopsida; Poales; Poaceae.
AUGUUGCCUCUGCUUUUUAUUCUUGCCAUGGAGCCCCUGCAACGGAUGCUUUCGAUGGCCACAGAGAGGGCGGUGCUUACACCUUUGAGAAUCAGGGCUGCUCGUUUGCGAUCCAGUUUCUACGCCGAUGAUGCAGCUUUGUUCAUCAACCCGGUUGCCCAAGAUUUUGCUGCUGUUCAUGCCAUCCUAAAAGUCUUUGGGGACGCUUCUGGGCUGCGGGCCAACAUCGGCAAGACCGUGGCAUAUCCUAUCUCCUGCGCUGAAAUUAAUGUUGAGAAUAUAUUGCAUGAUUUUGGUGGGAUACUGGGCUCUCUCCCAUGUCAAUAUUUGGGAUUACCACUUGGGUUUCGUAAACCGCGGAGGGCAGAGCUUCAACCGGUCCUCGACAAAGUUGCGGGGAAGCUUGCUCCUAGGAAGGGAAGGUUAUUAAACAGGAUGGGAAGGCUGGUGUACAUCAAUUCUGUGGUUACGGCAACCGCCACUUUCUUCUUGACGGUCUUCCCGCCUGACAAGUGGCUCACCAAAAAGGUGGACAAGCUGAGGAGAAAUUUCCUAUGGUGUGCGGAGGAUGAAUCAGUAGGGAGGAAAAGCCUUGUAAAUUAG